GCCAAAUUUAUCACAGUUGUAGUGUUUGUCUAUUUCAAAGCAUUUAUAAUUAAAUGACACGAUGUUCAAUUGUGAUGUAAUGUUACAACAUGAAAAAUCUUCUUAUAUUUAUAAGAAAAAAGUUUGAUUUUUUUCCACAAAUUGACAUGGUCAUGGAUGGUAUUGCGCUCACAUGUCUUUUGUCACCAGAAAAUGUCUCUGUCACAAUAUACAGAACUCAUUUAACUAUUGUUGAAUUGUAAAAGUAUGAAAAAGUUCAUUGUAAAAUCUUCCAGAUAGUAAAAGUUAUUUGAUAUAUAGCAAAAAAAUAGAUCUAACUUGCAUAAG
Molecule: long non-coding RNA, 327 nt
Filed under: Mytilus galloprovincialis (Mediterranean mussel)
Lineage: Eukaryota; Metazoa; Mollusca; Bivalvia; Mytilida; Mytilidae
Source: RNAcentral